Molecule: ribosomal RNA, 478 nt
Filed under: uncultured bacterium
Lineage: Bacteria
Description: partial 16S ribosomal RNA
Rfam family: Bacterial small subunit ribosomal RNA
Source: RNAcentral
UCUUCCCUCUGGCGGCGUGCUUAACACAUGCAAGUCGAACGAGAAGUGAAGACGGAAACCUUCGGGCGGAAGGCUUUAUUUCGAGUGGCGGACGGGUGAGUAACGCGUGGGUAACCUGCCUCAUACAGGGGGAUAACAGUUGGAAACGACUGUUAAUACCGCAUAAGACCACAGCACCGCAUGGUGCGGGGGUAAAAACUCCGGUGGUAUGAGAUGGACCCGCGUUCGAUUAGCCAGUUGGCGGGGUAACGGCCCACCAAAGCGACGAUCGAUAGCCGAUCUGAGAGGAUGACCGGCCACAUUGGGACUGAGACACGGCCCAAACUCCUACGGGAGGCAGCAGUGGGGAAUAUUGCACAAUGGGGGAAACCCUGAUGCAGCGACGCCGCGUGAGUGAAGAAGUAUUUCGGUAUGUAAAGCUCUAUCAGCAGGGAAGAAAAUGACGGUACCUGAGUAAGAAGCCCCGGCUAACUACGUG